UCAAACUUGGUCAUUUAGAGGAAGUAAAAGUCGUAACAAGGUUUCCGUAGGUGAACCUGCGGAAGGAUCAUUACGAAGAAACAAAGGCUCUCGCGGGCCUUUCGCUAAUCCAGCCCCUCGGGGCGAAGAUGGCGUCAACCUCUUGUGAACCUUCUACCUUUGCUUCGGCAGCAGUCACGUGUUGGUCAGACUAAACAACUGGCCUUCACUGUGGUUGUAAGGCUGCCAGAAGCCCACAACAAAAACUAUUUGAACAAGAAAUCAUUACAGUCUGAUCAUUAUUAUGAAAUUUAAUCAUAUUAAAACUUUCAGCAACGGAUCUCUUGGUUCUCGCAUCGAUGAAGAACGCAGC
This 352-nucleotide unclassified non-coding RNA is filed under the name uncultured fungus. RNAcentral describes it as "partial contains small subunit ribosomal RNA, internal transcribed spacer 1, and 5.8S ribosomal RNA". The stretch from base 1 to 73 matches the Rfam family "Eukaryotic small subunit ribosomal RNA", at positions 1759 to 1831 of the family's 1831-position model. Lineage: Eukaryota; Fungi. The record is from RNAcentral.